RNAcentral lists this non-coding RNA (110 nucleotides) under Shewanella hanedai. RNAcentral describes it as "Cyclic di-GMP-I riboswitch". It matches the Rfam family "c-di-GMP-I riboswitch aptamer", at positions 8 to 82 of the family's 87-position model. From Rfam's summary of the family: GEMM was predicted in a large-scale screen for bacterial structured RNA regulatory elements. Genes associated with GEMM are involved in a diverse array of functions, including chemotaxis regulation, signal transduction, secretion and chitin. The record is from RNAcentral. Lineage: Bacteria; Pseudomonadati; Pseudomonadota; Gammaproteobacteria; Alteromonadales; Shewanellaceae.
UACAAAGGCAAACCAAUUGAAAGGUUGGGACGCAAAGCUUCCGGUCUAAGGGGAUAGUUUUGAGAAGGUCGCAUUCUCAAAAUAGUAUUGUUCCUAUGAUAGCGGGGAUG